Molecule: ribosomal RNA, 253 nt
Filed under: uncultured bacterium
Lineage: Bacteria
Also listed under: 1 other name
Description: partial 16S ribosomal RNA
Rfam family: Bacterial small subunit ribosomal RNA
Source: RNAcentral
UACGGGGGGUGCGAGCGUUGUCCGGAAUCACUGGGCGUAAAGGGCGCGUAGGUGGUUUGAUAAGGGUGUGGUGAAAGUCCGGGGCUCAACCCCGGAUCUGCCGUGCCGACUGUCAAACUCGAGGGCUGUAGAGGCAGACGGAAUUCCGGGUGUAGCGGUGGAAUGCGUAGAGAUCCGGAGGAAGACCGGUGGCGAAGGCGGUCUGCUGGGCAGUUUCUGACACUGAUGCGCGACAGCGUGGGGAGCAAACAGG